Molecule: ribosomal RNA, 371 nt
Filed under: uncultured organism
Description: partial 16S ribosomal RNA
Rfam family: Bacterial small subunit ribosomal RNA
Source: RNAcentral
GUAGGUGGCAAGCGUUGUCCGGAAUUAUUGGGCGUAAAGCGCGCGCAGGCGGUUCUUUAAGUCUGAUGUGAAAGCCCACGGCUCAACCGUGGAGGGUCAUUGGAAACUGGAGAACUUGAGUACAGAAGAGGAAAGCGGAAUUCCACGUGUAGCGGUGAAAUGCGUAGAGAUGUGGAGGAACACCAGUGGCGAAGGCGGCUUUCUGGUCUGUAACUGACGCUGAGGCGCGAAAGCGUGGGGAGCAAACAGGAUUAGAUACCCUGGUAGUCCACGCCGUAAACGAUGAGUGCUAAGUGUACGGGGGUUUUCGCCCCCCUUAGUGCUGCAGCUAACGCAUUAAGCACUCGCCUGGGAGUACGGCCGCAAGGCUG